CUAACAGGAAAGAAAUACAAGAAGUUGAAGCCAGAAAGACCAUGAGAAAAUUUGAAACAGGGGGCUUCUGAGGCCCAGGUCCCCUAGGAGCACGGGCUGGAUAGCUUGUUUUGAGGAUAAAGUCAAAAUCCUGGCAAUUGAGGUCCUGCAGAAACUAAUAAAGGAGCACCUUCUCAGUACCGUAGUUCCUAACUAUUGAUGACGGGGUUCUUGUUCACGAAGCCGAAGAAUGAGCUUCACAAACACUCAAGAUAAACAGCAGCAGGACAAAACUUUAAGAAAGAGGCCUGGGAGGAAAUCCUAUCUAGUAGCUGUUUCCUGAGAAUUGCAGAAGUUACCAUUAUUAAAAUCUAGCAGCACACCCUUUUAUAUUGGUCACUAAAAAGCAGUGUUGUCUGGAUUUUCUGUUUGACAAAUGCUGGCCAGCUUUCAAGUUUGGGAUCCAAGAAUAGCACAAACAUAAGGGUCAAAAACUGUAACUGCGGGAUUCUAUAAAUUAAAUUUGUGAAUUGGACUAGCUGUGCAAAGUGCUAUGCCUGAAAAGAAUUAAGAUUGAAGCUUUUAUUUUUAAUUAAGCACUCUGUUUAAACGCCUGCAGGGAUGAUUCAACUUUCAGAUCACAUUUUUGUAACCCCUAGUUCAAAUUAAGGAAGUAAUGCUUACUGUCUAUAAACUCUGCUCUUCAUCUCUAAUACCAUCUUCCCACUCCCUCAAAACAGCCUUUCUGAUGAGAAUUUUCUCAGCCACACCAGUAUAGUCACUGGCGAGCAAGGGUUUGCUCACACAUUUUGUCUUUCCUCAGAGCUUAGGUGAGUAGGUCCAGUACAGGUAUUGGUACUUACUAUUAUUCAUUUGAUUUGCAUUUGAAAGAGGACCUCUCCACCUGCCUACAACCUCUGCAGAUUGCAUGCAACGAUAAUGGUGAAUUGUGGCUUUAGUGUUUAACCCCCAGGGUUUUCAUCGUCAACUUAAUUAUUAUUUGCAAUAAUAAUUUCACUUGGCAAACGGUGUAAUUCUACAAAUCCCUUUUGGAGCUUAGAGAGAAAUGUUCCACUUGAGAUAAAU
Manis javanica (Malayan pangolin) is the source of this 1065-nucleotide long non-coding RNA. RefSeq lists it as uncharacterized. Lineage: Eukaryota; Metazoa; Chordata; Mammalia; Pholidota; Manidae. The record is from RefSeq and is a predicted model, not a curated record.